RNAcentral lists this ribosomal RNA (492 nucleotides) under uncultured bacterium. RNAcentral describes it as "bacterial SSU rRNA". It matches the Rfam family "Bacterial small subunit ribosomal RNA", at positions 903 to 1397 of the family's 1533-position model. The record is from RNAcentral.
AAAUGAAUUGACGGGGACCCGCACAAGCAGCGGAGCAUGGGGUUUAAUUCGAAGCAACGCGAAAAACCUUACCAGAACUUGACAUCUAGUGACGAACCUUGUAAUGAGGUUUUCCCUUCGGGGCACGAAGACAGGUGUUGCAUGGUUGUCGUCAGCUCGUGUCGUGAGAUGUUAGGUUAAGUCCUGCAACGAGCGCAACCCUCGUGUACAGUUGCCAGUAUUAAGUUAGGAACUCUGUACAGACCGCCGUGGUUAACACGGAGGAAGGUGGGGAUGACGUCAAAUCAUCACGGCCCUUACGUUCUGGGCCACACCCGUGCUACAAUGGCUAUUACAAAGAGCAGCGAUAUAGCAAUAUGGAGCGAAUCUCAUAAAGAUAGUCUCAGUUCAGAUUGUGGGCUGCAACUCGCCCACAUGAAGUAGGAGUUGCUAGUAAUCCCGAAUCAGCAUGUCGGGGUGAAUGCGUUCCCGGGUCUUGUACACACCGCCCGU